AGGACGAACGCUGGCGGCGCGCCUAACACAUGCAAGUCGAGCGAGAACCGGGGGCUUGCCCCUGGGGAAAGCGGCGAACGGGUGCGUAACACGUGAGCAACCUGCCCCAAAGACCGGGACAACCCGAGGAAACUCGGACUAAUACCGGAUGCCCUCACCGGGUCGCAUGGUCUGGUGAGGAAAUGGAUUCCGCUUUGGGAUGGGCUCGCGGUCUAUCAGCUUGUUGGUGGGGUAACGGCCUACCAAGGCGACGACGGAUAGCUGGUCUGAGAGGACGAUCAGCCACACUGGGACUGAGACACGGCCCAGACUCCUACGGGAGGCAGCAGUGGGGAAUCUUGCGCAAUGGGGGAAACCCUGACGCAGCGACGCCGCGUGCGGGAUGAAGGCCUUCGGGUUGUAACCGCUUCAGCAGGGACGAAAUUGACGGUACCUGCAGAAGAAGGCCCGGCCAACUACGUGCCAGCAGCCGC
Molecule: ribosomal RNA, 473 nt
Filed under: uncultured bacterium
Lineage: Bacteria
Description: SSU rRNA
Rfam family: Bacterial small subunit ribosomal RNA
Source: RNAcentral